Molecule: long non-coding RNA, 718 nt
Filed under: Homo sapiens (human)
Lineage: Eukaryota; Metazoa; Chordata; Mammalia; Primates; Hominidae
Description: non-protein coding lnc-CTRL-3:2
Source: RNAcentral
AACUUGACCGCUGCCUGCGAGACGGGUCGGUGAUAGAAAAAGGAAGGAUCGCGGGAAAUAGGGAGAAAGUUUCAAGUUUCUGGUUGGGGGAAAGGGGACUCUGUAAUGCGAGCUUGGGUAAACAAUGCUUUCCAACAGAGGUUUCUGGAAGUGCCUCUGGAACUCCGCAAAGGAUAGACUUAAUUUUCAUUAACAAAAUCUAUUUUUUAAAACUGCACUUAGAAUAAUUUCAACACUCCAUGUGUUGAAUUUGGCCUCCAUCAAAGAAGAGAUGCAAAGGGUUAAUUUGUAGAUAGGUGAAGUCAAUCUUGGGCCAACUUCUGGACUCAUGGUUAUUUGUUGUUGUUAAUUUAAUUUAUAUGCCGAGUCUGAAAAGCAAGCGGAUUUUUAAAAAAUUGUUACCAUUCACAAUGACUUCUCUAUAGGAUCAGAACUGGUUCACUUUACAGUCAACCCAACUUGGAGGGGUUAAAAUAGGUGCUGCAGAUGGUAAGUGCAUUGUAACCUCCAUCCAUCUUCCCCAUUUCAGUAGCUCUGUAUUCAAAUCUUUAUUGAGUAUGUACUUUGCACAUGGAACUGUCUUUGAUUGACUGUAUAAGCUAAUGUUAUACUUUAAACCUAAAAAUAAAUUAACACCAAUAAAACAUUGUCGUCGGCUGGGCGCCACUGCUCACACUUGUAAUCCCAGCACUUUGGGAGGCCAAGGCAGGUGGAUCAC